RNAcentral lists this ribosomal RNA (494 nucleotides) under Gynaecoserica sp. LW1134. RNAcentral describes it as "partial 16S large subunit ribosomal RNA". It matches the Rfam family "Bacterial large subunit ribosomal RNA", at positions 1845 to 2600 of the family's 2925-position model. Lineage: Eukaryota; Metazoa; Arthropoda; Insecta; Coleoptera; Scarabaeidae. The record is from RNAcentral.
UUAAAGUCUAAUCUGCCCUAUGAAGGAUUAAAUGGCCGCGGUAUUUUGACCGUGCAAAGGUAGCAUAAUAAUUAGUUUUUUAAUUGAAAGCUGGAAUGAAUGAUUGAACGAGAAAAUAACUGUCUCAAUUUAAUUUUAGUAGAAUUUUAUUUUUAAGUAAAAAAGCUUAAAUAUGAUUGAAAGACGAGAAGACCCUAUAGAGUUUGAUAUUUUUCUAUUUAUUAAUUUUUUAGAUUAUUUUUGUUGAUAUUUAGUUAAUUAUUUUAUUGGGGCGAUAGAAAAAUUAAAUUAACUUUUUUUGUAUUAAAUCAUUGAUAUAUGAAUAUUUGAUCCAUUUUUUAUGAUUAAAAGAUUUAGUUACCUUAGGGAUAACAGCGUAAUUUUUUUAUAGAGUUCUUAUCGAAAAAAAAGAUUGCGACCUCGAUGUUGGAUUAAAAUUAAUAUAGGGUGAAGAAGCUUGAUUAUUAGGUCUGUUCGACCUUUGAAAUUUUACA